GACGAACGCUGGCGGCGUGCUUAACACAUGCAAGUCGAACGGAAAGGCCCGGCUUUGGUGCGCUGCUCGGGUGACGAACGGGGGAGUAACACGUGGGUACGGUGCACCUGCCUGAGGGGUAUCUUAAGGACAGUGGGGCUAAUCGCGGAUAGGAGCUCCCGCCGCUGGGUGGGGGUGGGAAAGUUUCGGUGGUUGGGGAUGGAAUAGCGGCUUAUGAGCUUGUUGGGUGGGUAGUGGCUGAGCAAGGCCAUGAAGGGUAGCCGGCCUGCGAGGGGGACCGGCCACACUGGGCUGGGGCUACGGCCCAGACUCGUAUGGGAGGCAGCAGUGGAGAAUAUUACACUAUGGGCGGAAGCCUGAUGCAGCAACGCCGCGUGCGGGAUGACGGCCAUCGGGUUGUAAUCCGCUGUCGCCUGUGCCGAAGCGUGAGUGACGGUACCGGGUAAAGAAGCACCGGCUAACUACGUG
Molecule: ribosomal RNA, 468 nt
Filed under: uncultured bacterium
Lineage: Bacteria
Description: partial 16S ribosomal RNA
Rfam family: Bacterial small subunit ribosomal RNA
Source: RNAcentral